UGAACGCUGGCGGCGUGCCUAAUACAUGCAAGUCGAGCGAACAGACGAGAAGCUUGCUUCUCUGAUGUUAGCGGCGGACGGGUGAGUAACACGUGGAUAACCUACCUAUAAGACUGGGAUAACUUCGGGAAACCGGAGCUAAUACCGGAUAAUAUUUUGAACCGCAUGGUUCAAAAGUGAAAGACGGUCUUGCUGUCACUUAUAGAUGGAUCCGCGCUGCAUUAGCUAGUUGGUAAGGUAACGGCUUACCAAGGCAACGAUGCAUAGCCGACCUGAGAGGGUGAUCGGCCACACUGGAACUGAGACACGGUCCAGACUCCUACGGGAGGCAGCAGUAGGGAAUCUUCCGCAAUGGGCGAAAGCCUGACGGAGCAACGCCGCGUGAGUGAUGAAGGUCUUCGGAUCGUAAAACUCUGUUAUUAGGGAAGAACAUAUGUGUAAGUAACUGUGCACAUCUUGACGGUACCUAAUCAGAAAGCCACGGCUAACUACGUG
RNAcentral lists this ribosomal RNA (495 nucleotides) under uncultured bacterium. Its description in RNAcentral is "partial 16S ribosomal RNA". It matches the Rfam family "Bacterial small subunit ribosomal RNA", at positions 30 to 507 of the family's 1533-position model. The record is from RNAcentral.